RNAcentral lists this ribosomal RNA (253 nucleotides) under uncultured bacterium. Its description in RNAcentral is "partial 16S ribosomal RNA". It matches the Rfam family "Bacterial small subunit ribosomal RNA", at positions 524 to 776 of the family's 1533-position model. The record is from RNAcentral.
UACGUAGGGGGCAAGCGUUAUCCGGAUUCACUGGGUGUAAAGGGAGCGCAGGCGGUACGGCGAGUCUGAUGUGAAAACCCGGGGCCCAACCCCGGGACCGCACCGGAUACUGCCGGACUCGAGUGCCGGAGGGGCAGGCGGAAUUCCUGGUGUAGCGGUGAAAUGCGCAGAUAUCAGGAGGAACACCGGUGGCGAAGGCGGCCUGCUGGACAUUAACUGACGCUGAGGCGCGAAAGCGUGGGGAGCAAACAGG